This 407-nucleotide ribosomal RNA is filed under the name uncultured bacterium. RNAcentral describes it as "partial 16S ribosomal RNA". It matches the Rfam family "Bacterial small subunit ribosomal RNA", at positions 28 to 526 of the family's 1533-position model. The record is from RNAcentral.
GAUGAACGCUAGCUACAGGCUUAACACAUGCAAGUCGCAGGACUGGCGCGCGGGUGCUUAACGCGUAUCCAACCUUCCCAUAACUACGGGAUAACCCGUUGCAAGACGGCCUAAUACCGUAUGGUUUUGGUUGGGGUUGCGUGUGAUUAGCUUGUUGGCGGGGUAACGGCCCACCAAGGCGACGAUCAGUAGGGGUGCUGAGAGGAAGGGCCCCCGAAUUGGAACUGGGACCCGGUCUAAACUCCGACGGGGGGGAGCAGUGAGUAAUAUUGGUGAAUGGGCGAGAGCCUGAACCAGCCAAGUAGCGGGAAGGAGGACGGCCUAUGGGUUGUAAACUGCUUUUAUGUGGGGAUAGGUACCACAUGAAUAAGGACCGGCUAAUUCCGUGCCAGCCGCCGCGGUAAUAC